UGCCAGCAGCCGCGGUAAUACGGAGGGUGCAAGCGUUGUUCGGAUUUACUGGGCGUAAAGCGCACGUAGGCGGAAAGAUAAGUCAGGUGUGAAAUCUCGGGGCCCAACCCCGAAACUGCGCCUGAAACUGUCUUUCUAGAAUCCCGGAGGGGGAAGGGGAAUUUCUCAUGUAGGGGUAAAAUCCGUAGAGAUGAGAAGGAACACCGGAGGCGAAGGCGCCUUCCUGGACGGGUAUUGACGCUGAUGUGCGAAAGCGUGGGGAGCAAACAGGAUUAGAUA
Molecule: ribosomal RNA, 279 nt
Filed under: uncultured bacterium
Lineage: Bacteria
Description: partial 16S ribosomal RNA
Rfam family: Bacterial small subunit ribosomal RNA
Source: RNAcentral